Long non-coding RNA from Contarinia nasturtii (swede midge), 533 nucleotides. RefSeq lists it as uncharacterized. Lineage: Eukaryota; Metazoa; Arthropoda; Insecta; Diptera; Cecidomyiidae. The record is from RefSeq and is a predicted model, not a curated record. The transcript has 5 exons.
CGGAAGCAUUUUCAUAAUUAUACAAAAGUUUGAACAAUUUUCGAGUUACUAUAUCCAAUUUGCUGAACCGUGUUUAAGUUUUCUCAUCAAUAAAAGAUUUUUUUUAAACUUUAUUUAGUGAUAAUGUAUGGAAAAUGUAAGGUCGUACAGCAACAGCCAUAUAUUUAAUCGAGAAAGGGGCGGAUGUGAAUUCCUUCUAUUGAGGUAAUACACCACUUCAUAAAGCUGCUUCGCGUGGUCAUACAGAUACUGCCAGAACUCUCAUCGAAAGAGGAGCCAAUGUAACUGCAGAAAAUUGGGAAAAACAAACACCACUUCACCUAGCUUGUUUGCGUUGUACAGAUAUAUUAGUCAUAUAUCUAAUGGAAAAAGGAUCCAAUGUGAAUGCUGAAGAUGUGAGAAAACAAACACCAUUUCACUGGGCAGCUUCUGAAUGUCGUACAGAAACAGUAAAAUAUCUAAUCGAGAAAGGAGCCCACGUGAAUACUGAAGAUGGAGAUAAAUGGACAGCACUUCACCACGCUGCUGCGAAC